Molecule: ribosomal RNA, 479 nt
Filed under: Argyrochlamys impudicus
Lineage: Eukaryota; Metazoa; Arthropoda; Insecta; Diptera; Dolichopodidae
Description: partial 16S ribosomal RNA
Rfam family: Bacterial large subunit ribosomal RNA
Source: RNAcentral
AUAAAUAUUUAAGGGCCGCAGUAUCCUGACUGUGCAAAGGUAGCAUAAUCAUUAGUCUUUUAAUUGAGGGCUUGUAUGAAUGAUUGGACGAGAUAUAGACUGUCUCAUAAAAAUUUAUGUAGAAUUUUAUUUUUUAGUCAAAAAGCUAAAAUUUAUUUAAAAGACGAGAAGACCCUAUAGAUCUUUAUAAAUAGCUUAUUAAUUUUGUUAGGUUUUUUUUUAAAUUAAUAAGUGAUUUUAUUUUGUUGGGGUGACAAUGAAAUUUAAUAAACUUUCAUAAAAUAAUAACAUUGAUUUAUGAAUAUUUGAUCCAUUAUUAUUGAUUAAAAAUUUAAGUUACCUUAGGGAUAACAGCGUAAUUAUUUUGGAGAGUUCAUAUCGAUAAAAUAGUUUGCGACCUCGAUGUUGGAUUAAGAUUAAUUCUGGGUGUAGCCGCUUAGAGUAUUAAGUCUGUUCGACUUUUAAUUUCUUACAUGAUC